Molecule: ribosomal RNA, 764 nt
Filed under: uncultured organism
Description: bacterial SSU rRNA
Rfam family: Bacterial small subunit ribosomal RNA
Source: RNAcentral
GGACGGAACCCCUGGAAUAAUCGUCGGCUAACUACGUGCCAGCAUCCGCUGUAAGACGUAGGACGCGAGCUUUAUCCGGAUUUACUGGGCGUAAAGCGUCUGUAGGCGGAUGUGUAAGUUGGGCGUGAAAGCUCCGGGCUUAAGCCGGAGAGGCCGUUCAAUACUGCAUAACUUGAGGGUGUCAGAGGGGAGCGGAAUUCCCGGUGUAGCGGUAAAAUGCGCAGAGAUCGGGAGGAACACCAGUGGCGGAGGCGGCUCCCUGGGGCACACCUGACGCUGAGAGACGAAAGCUAGCGGAGCGAACAGGACUAGAGACCCUGGUAGUCCUAGCCCUAAGCGAUGAAUGCUAGGUGUGGGAUCGAAUGGUUCCGUGCCGGAGCGAACGCGAUAAGCAUUCCGCCUGGGGAGUACGGCCGCGAGGUUAAAACUCAAACGAAUUGACGGGGCCCCGCACAAACAACGGAGCGUGUGGUUUAAAUUCGAUGCUACACGAAGAACCUUACCUGGAUUUGACAUGUAGGUGGUAGUGAAUCGAAAGGUGAACGACCAUUCGGAGAGCCUACACAGGUGCUGCAUGGCUGUCGUCAGCUCGUGCCGUGAGGUGUCGGCUUAAGUCCCGUCACGAGCGCAACCCUUGCUCCUAGUUACAAGUGUCUAGGGGGACUGCCGGCGGAAAGCCGGAGGAAGGUCGGGGAUGACGUCAAGUCAGCAUGGCCCUUAUAUCCAGGGCUACACACACGCUACAAUGGUCGGUACAAAGGGCA